RNAcentral lists this ribosomal RNA (403 nucleotides) under uncultured bacterium. Its description in RNAcentral is "bacterial SSU rRNA". It matches the Rfam family "Bacterial small subunit ribosomal RNA", at positions 29 to 429 of the family's 1533-position model. The record is from RNAcentral.
AGUGAACGCUGGCGGCAGGCCUAACACAUGCAAGUCGAACGGCAGCACAGCAGUAGCAAUACUGUGGGUGGCGAGUGGCGGACGGGUGAGGAAUACAUCGGAAUCUGCCUAGUCGUGGGGGAUAACGUAGGGAAACUUACGCUAAUACCGCAUACGACCUACGGGUGAAAGCGGGGGAUCGCAAGACCUCGCGCGAUUAGAUGAGCCGAUGUCCGAUUAGCUAGUUGGCGGGGUAAUGGCCCACCAAGGCGACGAUCGGUAGCUGGUCUGAGAGGAUGAUCAGCCACGCUGGAACUGAGACACGGUCCAGACUCCUACGGGAGGCAGCAGUGGGGAAUAUUGGACAAUGGGCGCAAGCCUGAUCCAGCCAUGCCGCGUGGGUGAAGAAGGCCUCGGUUGUAAG